GUGGGCCAGGGUGGCAGGUGGGAGCAAGCCGGCUAGCAUUCCCGGGAAAAGGCUUAUGUCUCACCAUCACCCUGAUCCCACUAG
This 84-nucleotide microRNA precursor is filed under the name Vicugna pacos (alpaca). Its description in RNAcentral is "miRNA (ENSVPAG00000016129.1)". Lineage: Eukaryota; Metazoa; Chordata; Mammalia; Artiodactyla; Camelidae. The record is from RNAcentral.